This 460-nucleotide ribosomal RNA is filed under the name uncultured bacterium. Its description in RNAcentral is "partial 16S ribosomal RNA". It matches the Rfam family "Bacterial small subunit ribosomal RNA", at positions 338 to 795 of the family's 1533-position model. The record is from RNAcentral.
CCUACGGGAGGCUGCAGUGAGGAAUAUUGGUCAAUGGACGAGAGUCUGAACCAGCCAAGUAGCGUGAAGGAUGACUGCCCUAUGGGUUGUAAACUUCUUUUAUAUGGGAAUAAAAUGUUACACGUGUGGGAUUUUGUAUGUACCAUAUGAAUAAGGAUCGGCUAACUCCGUGCCAGCAGCCGCGGUAAUACGGGGGAUCCGAGCGUUAUCCGGAUUUAUUGGGUUUAAAGGGAGCGUAGGUGGAUUGUUAAGUCAGUUGUGAAAGUUUGCGGCUCAACCGUAAAAUUGCAGUUGAAACUGGCAGUCUUGAGUACAGUAGAGGUGGGCGGAAUUCGUGGUGUAGCGGUGAAAUGCUUAGAUAUCACGAAGAACUCCGAGUGCGAAGGCAGUUCACUGGACUGCAACUGACACUGAGGCUCGAAAGUGUGGGUAUCAAACAGGAUUAGAUACCCGUGUAGUC